GGGGGGGGCGCCCACAAAGGGGGGGGGAGUUAAAAGGANAGGAUUUCCUUUGGGGAAACUCGGGAGGAACAUUUAAGAGUUUCAGAACCCCCUCAAAACAUUUUGGACCUACCCCUUUUACCUUUGUUUUGGGGGGGGGGGGAAGGGGCCCCCGGCCCCCCCCGGGGGGCCGCCCGAGGAUAACCCAAACUCUUGACAAUAGUGGCCUCUCUGAGCAUUCUUUACUGAAUAAGUCAAAACUUUCAACAACCGAUCUCUUGGGUCUGGCAUCGAUGAAGAAAGCAGCGAAAUGCGAUAAAUAAAGUGAAAUGCAGAAAUCAGUGAAUCAUCGAAUCUCUGAACCCACAAUGCGCCCGCCAGUAUUCUGGCGGGCAUGCCUGUUCGAGCGUCAUUUCAACCAUCAAGCCCCCGGGCUUGUGUUGGGGACCUGCGGCUGCCCGCAGGCCCUGAAAACCAGUGGCGGGCUCGCUAGUCACACCGAGCGUAGUAGCAUACAUCUCGCUAAGGGCGUGCUGCGGGUUCCGGCCGUUAAACAGCCUCUGCGCUACACCCAAGGUUGACCUCGGAUCAGGUAGGAAGACCCGCUGAACUUUAGCAUAUCAUUCAGCGGGAGGACUCCGCAGUUCCCCUUCGGG
Molecule: ribosomal RNA, 635 nt
Rfam family: 5.8S ribosomal RNA (bases 238-391)